This 800-nucleotide ribosomal RNA is filed under the name uncultured bacterium. RNAcentral describes it as "bacterial SSU rRNA". It matches the Rfam family "Bacterial small subunit ribosomal RNA", at positions 44 to 851 of the family's 1533-position model. The record is from RNAcentral.
GGGGGGGUUACAUGGCAGUCCGACGAAGCGAGACUAAAGCGCAAGCAGAGGUUCUUGACUGAGUGGCGGACGGGUGAGUAACGCGUGGAUAACCUGCCUUUCACAGGGGGAUAACAGCUGGAAACGGUUGCUAAUACCGCAUGAGCCUCUUUUGUCGCAUGACGGGAGAGGGAAAGAGAAAUCGGUGAGAGAUGGAUCCGCGUCCGAUUAGCUAGUUGGAGGGGUAACAGCCCACCAAGGCGACGAUCGGUAGCCGACCUGAGAGGGUGGACGGCCACAUUGGGACUGAGACACGGCCCAAACUCCUACGGGAGGCAGCAGUGGGGAAUAUUGCACAAUGGGGGAAACCCUGAUGCAGCAACGCCGCGUGAGUGAGGAAGUAUUUCGGUAUGUAAAGCUCUAUCAGCAGGGAAUAGAAAAGAAGGUACCUGAAAAAGAAGCCCCGGCUAACUACGUGCCAGCAGCCGCGGUAAUACGUAGGGGGCAAGCGUUAUCCGGAUUUACUGGGUGUAAAGGGAGCGUAGACGGAAAGGCAAGUCAGAAGUGAAAACCCAAGGCUCAACCAUGGGACUGCUUUUGAAACUGUCAAACUAGAGUACGGGAGAGGUAAGAGGAAUUCCUAGUGUAGCGGUGAAAUGCGUAGAUAUUAGGAGGAACACCAGUGGCGAAGGCGUCUUACUGGACCGAAACUGACGUUGAGGCUCGAAAGCGUGGGGAGCAAACAGGAUUAGAUACCCUGGUAGUCCACGCGGUAAACGAUGAAUACUAGGUGUUGGGGUAAAGAAACCUCGGUGCCGCAG